AUACGGAGGGUGCGAGCGUUGUUCGGAAUCACUGGGCGUAAAGGGCGCGUAGGCGGCCUGCUAAGUCUGGUGUGAAAGCCCUCCGCUCAACGGAGGAAGGGCACUGGAAACUGGCAGGCUCGAGUCCCGGAGAGGAGGGUGGAAUUCCCGGUGUAGCGGUGAAAUGCGUAGAUAUCGGGAAGAACACCCGUGGCGAAGGCGGUCCUCUGGACGGUGACUGACGCUGAGGCGCGAAAGCGUGGGGAGCAAACAGGAGUAGAUACCCCGGUAGUCC
Molecule: ribosomal RNA, 274 nt
Filed under: uncultured bacterium
Lineage: Bacteria
Description: partial 16S ribosomal RNA
Rfam family: Bacterial small subunit ribosomal RNA
Source: RNAcentral